GAUGAAGAACGCAGCGAAAUGCGAUACGUAAUGUGAAUUGCAGAAUUCAGUGAAUCAUCGAAUCUUUGAACGCACAUUGCGCCCCUUGGUAUUCCAUGGGGCAUGCCUGUUCGAGCGUCAUUUGUACCUUCAAGCUCUGCUUGGUGUUGGGUGUUUGUCUCGCCUCUGCGCGUAGACUCGCCUCAAAACAAUUGGCAGCCGGCGUAUUGAUUUCGGAGCGCAGUACAUCUCGCGCUUUGCACUCAUAACGACGACGUCCAAAAGUACAUUUUUACACUCUUGACCUCGGAUCAGGUAGGGAUACCCGCUGAACUUAAGCAUAUCAAUAAGCGGAGGA
Molecule: unclassified non-coding RNA, 337 nt
Filed under: soil metagenome
Description: partial contains 5.8S ribosomal RNA, internal transcribed spacer 2, and large subunit ribosomal RNA
Rfam family: 5.8S ribosomal RNA (bases 1-120)
Source: RNAcentral